UCUAAUAUGGCAGAAUAGUGCAUCGGAUUUAAACCCCGAAAAUAAAGAUUUUNUUUUUUUAGAA
Molecule: transfer RNA, 64 nt
Filed under: Altica lythri
Lineage: Eukaryota; Metazoa; Arthropoda; Insecta; Coleoptera; Chrysomelidae
Description: tRNA-Leu
Rfam family: tRNA
About the family: Transfer RNA (tRNA) molecules are approximately 80 nucleotides in length.
Source: RNAcentral